AUGGCCAGUCCAUGCAGUGCUCCUGGCAGCGGUCGGCGGAUCUCAGUGCUGCCCCACCGCUUGGAUGGGGAAAUGGAGGCCGCCCACAGGAAGUGGCCUGGCGGGCCAGGGCCAGGGCCAAGACCACACCCAGCGAUCCCCAGGCCAGGGACCCUCCCCAGCCCAGCAGGUCUUCCCUACCUUGGCUCCACUGGACACAAUCUUCGAAAGCGUCAGGCCAGUGAACGGUCUGAUUUUGCCAGAGGCCCGGGACCCGGACCCAGGCAGGCCUCCGUUCCUCCGUUCCUGGGGUGGAGCUCAGGCAGGUGCUGGGCACGGCUCUACAGAGGCGCAGCCACCGCCCAGGCUCCUGGUGUCAGGGUCCUGGGGCUGCCACAACAAAUUGCCACAAAACUGAAGCGCUUGGGACUCACAGGUGGCUCAGCGGUGGAGCAUCUGCCUUCAGCUCAGGACGUGACCCCGGGGUCCUGGGAUCGAGUCCCGCAUCGGGCUCCCCGCAGGAGGCCUGCUUCUCCCUCUGCCUGUGUCUCUGCCUCUCUCUCUGUGGGUGUCUCAUCAAUCAAUAAAUAAAAUCUUUUAAAAAAAAUUGAGGUGCUUAAAACAAUAGAAGUUCUUUCUCUUACACACAAGAGGCCAGAAGCCCAGAAUCAAGGUGUGGGCAGGGCUGUGCUCCACCCGAGGCUCUAGGGGUGGAUCCUUCCUGCCCCUUCCAGCUCUUGGUGGCUCGGGCGCUCCUGGGCCUGCACCCGAGUCACCCCCAUGUCUGCUCUGUCUUCAAACAGCCUCCCCACUGCAUCUCUGCCUCUUACAAGGACACUGGCCAAGGGAUUUAGGCCCCACCACGUAACCCAGCGUGCAAACACCCUUUUUCCAGAUAAAGUCUUGUUCACAGGUUCUGGGGUUUAGGAUUGGGACACUCAACCCACCGCAGUGCCCAAACCAGUGUGGGCAGGGCUGGCCUCAACCCAGGAACCCGGCCCAGCCCCCAGACUCGUGCUCCUUCCCCAGGGGGCCCCGCCUGGCUUGAGAUGUGGGGCCCCUGUCCUGAGAGGCCUGUUUCCCCAUCCAUGUUUCUCGUCGAAACAUCAGCCCCUUCGCCAGCCUAGACCUGGGACCGAGCUGGCACAGAAGGCCUGCUUAGGGGAUCCUCCUUCUCGCUGGUCCCUGCUUGUCGCAGGCCUUGCUCACACAACGCCUCUUCCUGGAAGCCCUCUAAGGUCCCUGGUGGGGUGGACUCCCUUUCUCUAGCCCGAACCCCUCCAGGCUGUGGCCCUCCCUUGGCGUUGCAUGCCCUGCAGGCAGGAGUGGGUCUGGUCCCUGAGCCCCUGGCCCCGGGGAGAUGCCCAAGAGGACGCCAAAGGAGUGAG
Molecule: long non-coding RNA, 1367 nt
Filed under: Vulpes vulpes (red fox)
Lineage: Eukaryota; Metazoa; Chordata; Mammalia; Carnivora; Canidae
Description: lncRNA (ENSVVUG00000028625.1)
Source: RNAcentral